CUGUACCAUCUUGGGCAAAGACCAAUCAAGACACAUUACAGGUUAUGCUCCGGAAGAUGGAGAUAUUGGAGGAGAACCAGCGAGAGGUUCUUCUAUUCAGGCGACUACAGGGCAGACACUGAAGAGGUGCCAGUGAUGGACCUACAGGCAGCCUAAACACAGACUGAACUCCAAGACCUUGAGGAGCGCCUUAAGGUGCUGGAGUUCCGAAAGAGAGUGAUGCUGUGAUAAAGUGGAAGACGGGACUGGGAGAGAAGGCUGUGGAGCUCAUCAUAGCGGAGACACUCAAACACGCCCCAGCAGCCCAUUCAAAACAAGCCAGGGCCAACAGACAGGACUGUAUCGGGGACUGGCAGAAGAUUUUAAUACACUGUUUGGCACUUUGUUUGAAAUAAAAUGACUGAAUGUUACAUG
Hypomesus transpacificus is the source of this 414-nucleotide long non-coding RNA. RefSeq lists it as uncharacterized. Lineage: Eukaryota; Metazoa; Chordata; Actinopteri; Osmeriformes; Osmeridae. The record is from RefSeq and is a predicted model, not a curated record. The transcript has 4 exons.